AAUCCAUUGGUCUUAGGAACCAAAAACCUUGGUGCAACUCCAAAUAAAAGUA
RNAcentral lists this transfer RNA (52 nucleotides) under Rattus rattus (black rat). RNAcentral describes it as "partial tRNA-Leu". Lineage: Eukaryota; Metazoa; Chordata; Mammalia; Rodentia; Muridae. The record is from RNAcentral.